GGUCAACAGUGGGGCCGUCGCCUGCCGACUGAAGAGGAGUUCAAGCAGAGCAGAGAAUACCUGAAAUGAUUUGUGUGAAAAGAAAGAGGACGCAUUGAGUUUUACAGCAGGAGGCCUUUGAGAUAAAAUCAGACCAAACAAACUGCCUGUCAGCAUCUCUGUGCCUUAUGUUUUAGGUUCACUGAUGGAACAAGGCAGCCCACUUAUCGGCUGUAUUUCUCUACAUCCCACCGAAAAUUAGUAACCACGACGACGGACGGGAGUGACCAGCAGUUCAAGAGGAGGCGUCUGCAGCUGUCCCGUCCUUCCUUCAGUGUAUGUUCUUCUACGCAAAGCAGCGCCGCGCUA
Molecule: long non-coding RNA, 348 nt
Organism: Gasterosteus aculeatus aculeatus (three-spined stickleback)
Lineage: Eukaryota; Metazoa; Chordata; Actinopteri; Perciformes; Gasterosteidae
Source: Ensembl